This 1456-nucleotide ribosomal RNA is filed under the name uncultured Bordetella sp. RNAcentral describes it as "partial 16S-23S ribosomal RNA intergenic spacer". It matches the Rfam family "Bacterial small subunit ribosomal RNA". Lineage: Bacteria; Pseudomonadati; Pseudomonadota; Betaproteobacteria; Burkholderiales; Alcaligenaceae. The record is from RNAcentral.
GGUUUGAUUAUGGCUCAGAUUGAACGCUGGCGGGAUGCUUUACACAUGCAAGUCGAACGGCAGCACGGACUUCGGUCUGGUGGCGAGUGGCGAACGGGUGAGUAAUGUAUCGGAACGUGCCUGUAGGGAAGGGGAUAACUACGCGAAAAGGUAGCUAAUACCGCAUACGCCCUUCGGGGGAAAGCGGGGACCUUCACCCCUGCACUAGAGCGGCCGAUACUGGAUUACUAGUUGGGCGGUAACGGCUCACCAAGGCGACGAUCCGCAGCUGGUUUGAGGGACGAGACCAGCCACACUGGGACUGAGACACGGCCUGUAUUCCUACGGGAGCAGCAGGGGAAUUUUGGACAAUGGGGGAAACCCUGAUCCAGUCCCGCGUGUGCGAUGAAGGCCUUCGGGUUGUAAAGCACUUUUGGCAGGAAGAAACGGCACGGAUAAUACCCCGCGCAACUGACGGUACCCGCAGAAUAAGCACCGGCUAACCACGCCAGCAGCCGCGGUAUUACUUGUGGUGCAAGCGUUAAUCGAACGACAUGUAAAGUGGCGCAGGCGGUUCUGGAAAAGAUGUGAAAUCCCAGAGCUUAACUUUGGAACCAGGUGCAUUUUUAACUAUCGAGCCAGGAGUGUGUCAGAGGGAGGGGAAUCGCGCAGCAGUGAAAAUGCGUAGAUAUGCGGAGGAACACCUGAUGCGAAGGCAGCCCGUGAUGUUAACGACGUCUUAUGCACGAAAGCGUGGGGAGCAACAGGAUUAGAUACCCUGGUAGUCCACGCCCUAAACGAUGUCAACUAGCUGUUGGGGCCUUCGGGCCUUGGUAGCGCAGCUAACGCGGUUGACCGCCGCCUGGGGAGAAGUACGGUCGCGUUGAUUAAAACCCAAAGGAAUUGACGGGGACCCGCACAAGCGGUGGAUGAUGUGGAUUAAUUGAUGCAACACGAAACUACCUACCCUUGACAUGUCUGGAAUCCCAGAAGAGAUCGGGAGGCCCGUGGUAAGAGGAACCGGAACACAGGUGCUGCAUGGCUACUGCCAGCUCGUGUCGAGAUGUUGUUAAGUCCUGCAACGAGCAACCCUUGUCAUUAGUUGCUACGAAAGGGCACUCUAGACGGAGACUGCCGGUGACAAACCGGAGGGGGAAGGUGGGGAUGACGUCAUCCUCAUGGCCCUUAUGGGUAGGGCUUCACACGUCAUACAAUGGUCGGGACAGAGGGUCGCCAACCAUGAGGGGGCAGCCAAUCCCAGAAACCCGAUCGUAGUCCGGAUCGCAGUCUGCAACUCGACUGCGCAGUCGGAAUCGCUAGUAAUCGCGGAUCAGCAUGUCGCGGUGAAUACGUUCCCGGUCUUGUACACACCGCCCGUCACACCAUGGAGUGGGUUUUACCAGAAGUAGUUAGCCUAACCGUAAGAGGGCGAUUACCACGGUAGGAUUCAUGAUUGGGUGAAGUCGUAACAAGGUAA